UACGUAGGGUGCAAGCGUUAAUCGGAAUUACUGGGCGUAAAGCGUGCGCAGGCGGUUUUGUAAGUCAGAUGUGAAAUCCCCGGGCUUAACCUGGGAACUGCGUUUGAAACUACAAGGCUAGAGUGUGGCAGAGGGGAGUGGAAUUCCACGUGUAGCAGUGAAAUGCGUAGAGAUGUGGAGGAACACCGAUGGCGAAGGCAGCCCCCUGGGUUAACACUGACGCUCAGGCACGAAAGCGUGGGGAGCAAACAGG
This 253-nucleotide ribosomal RNA is filed under the name uncultured bacterium. Its description in RNAcentral is "partial 16S ribosomal RNA". It matches the Rfam family "Bacterial small subunit ribosomal RNA", at positions 524 to 776 of the family's 1533-position model. The record is from RNAcentral.